GGGCCGUGGGGGUCUAUAAUGCAGUCGACGCUUUGUGGUUCAACUGAUUUGAAGAGCUUGCUCAGAUAUGACGAUGGACAUUGCAAAGAGUGGCGAACGGGUGAGUAACACGUGGGAAACCUACCUCUUAGCAGGGGAUAACAUUUGGAAACAGAUGCUAAUACCGUAUAACAAUGACAACCGCAUGGUUGUUAUUUAAAAGAUGGUUCUGCUAUCACUAAGAGAUGGUCCCGCGGUGCAUUAGCUAGUUGGUAAGGUAAUGGCUUACCAAGGCGAUGAUGCAUAGCCGAGUUGAGAGACUGAUCGGCCACAAUGGGACUGAGACACGGCCCAUACUCCUACGGGAGGCAGCAGUAGGGAAUCUUCCACAAUGGGCGAAAGCCUGAUGGAGCAACGCCGCGUGUGUGAUGAAGGGUUUCGGCUCGUAAAACACUGUUGUAAGAGAAGAAUGACAUUGAGAGUAACUGUUCAAUGUGUGACGGUAUCUUACCAGAAAGGAACGGCUAAAUACGUGCCAGCAGCCGCGGUAAUACGUAUGUUCCAAGCGUUAUCCGGAUUUAUUGGGCGUAAAGCGAGCGCAGACGGUUAUUUAAGUCUGAAGUGAAAGCCCUCAGCUCAACUGAGGAAUUGCUUUGGAAACUGGAUGACUUGAGUGCAGUAGAGGAAAGUGGAACUCCAUGUGUAGCGGUGAAAUGCGUAGAUAUAUGGAAGAACACCAGUGGCGAAGGCGGCUUUCUGGACUGUAACUGACGUUGAGGCUCGAAAGUGUGGGUAGCAAACAGGAUUAGAUACCCUGGUAGUCCACACCGUAAACGAUGAGUGCUAGGUGUUUGAGGGUUUCCGCCCUUAAGUGCCGCAGCUAACGCAUUAAGCACUCCGCCUGGGGAGUACGACCGCAAGGUUGAAACUCAAAGGAAUUGACGGGGACCCGCACAAGCGGUGGAGCAUGUGGUUUAAUUCGAAGCAACGCGAAGAACCUUACCAGGUCUUGACAUCCCUUGACAACUCCAGAGAUGGAGCGUUCCCUUCGGGGACAAGGUGACAGGUGGUGCAUGGUUGUCGUCAGCUCGUGUCGUGAGAUGUUGGGUUAAGUCCCGCAACGAGCGCAACCCUUAUUACUAGUUGCCAGCAUUCAGUUGGGCACUCUAGUGAGACUGCCGGUGACAAACCGGAGGAAGGUGGGGAUGACGUCAAAUCAUCAUGCCCCUUAUGACCUGGGCUACACACGUGCUACAAUGGCGUAUACAACGAGUUGCCAACCCGCGAGGGUGAGCUAAUCUCUUAAAGUACGUCUCAGUUCGGAUUGUAGGCUGCAACUCGCCUACAUGAAGUCGGAAUCGCUAGUAAUCGCGGAUCAGCACGCCGCGGUGAAUACGUUCCCGGGUCUUGUACACACCGCCCGUCACACCAUGAGAGUUUGUAACACCCAAAGCCGGUGGGGUAACCUUCGGGAGCCAGCCGUCUAAGGGACCAAG
This 1475-nucleotide ribosomal RNA is filed under the name Weissella confusa. RNAcentral describes it as "bacterial SSU rRNA". It matches the Rfam family "Bacterial small subunit ribosomal RNA". Lineage: Bacteria; Bacillati; Bacillota; Bacilli; Lactobacillales; Lactobacillaceae. The record is from RNAcentral.